RNAcentral lists this long non-coding RNA (952 nucleotides) under Homo sapiens (human). RNAcentral's name for it is "HSALNT0183369". Lineage: Eukaryota; Metazoa; Chordata; Mammalia; Primates; Hominidae. The record is from RNAcentral.
CAGACGGCUGCGAGGCGCUGGGCACAGAGACGGGGUUUCACCGUGUUAGCCAGGAUGGUCUCGAUCUCCUGACCUCAUGAUCCACCCGCCUCAGCCUCCCAAAGUGCUGGGAUUACAGGCGUGAACCACCGCGCCCAGCUAGAAAUGGCCACUUCUUUCACGUUCUCUUCGACCGCUUUCUGCGGUGUCUGCCCUUUUCCUCCUCCUGCACCUUUUUGUCUCCUAGGGUCGCAUAGCCUUCCAAACAGGCCUGCCUACAGCAUUUUACCUGCAAUUUUACACUCAUUUUAAUAGAAAGGAUGGCUUAUUGUUCAUGAGAGACGUGUACUGUUUUUAACCAGAUGUGUAAUAUCUUCAGUAUAACCUGGAUGUUGUGCAGUGGGAAGUUAUGGAAAGAAUCAGGACACGUGGUUAGGUAGGGGCCCAGGGGCGUCAGACUUAGCUCUUUGUGACAGUGAGCUUCUUGGUUUAAUAAGGAUAUUGGCUCCCUCUGUUCCUGGGGUUUCUGGGAAAAGAUAUGGAACUGAUAUGAAGGUUUUAUUGAAUAUGGCCCACUGAUUUUACAAGUGGAGGUGACUGAGAUAAGCAGAAGGUGAGGCAUGACCUCUGGCUGUGCAUUAUUUGUUCUGAUAUUACAGGAGCCAAGCAUUCCAUUUCCUUCUUUUUAAAGAGCUUUGAUUUCCUCUCACAUCUUCAUGAAGAUGGAAACAGUGCCCCCACUUACUUAUCCUCAGGCCACACCUGUUCCCAUUUAUUCCAUGAGUUCCUCCCACACCCUUCUGGUUGAUGUUGGUUGUGAUGGUCGAGGUAAUUGAAUCUCACAUUUGGCACCAGUUAUUUCUGUUUCUCAUCUCCCCCCUACCUGCAGUUAAACAUCAGCUGCUAUACUUAACUGUUCAAAGUACAGAUGUUACCUGUGUUGGGUGUAAUCAAAAGAUUAUCUCUUUUCCUC